This 429-nucleotide ribosomal RNA is filed under the name Triticum aestivum (bread wheat). RNAcentral's name for it is "partial small subunit ribosomal RNA". The record is from RNAcentral. Lineage: Eukaryota; Viridiplantae; Streptophyta; Magnoliopsida; Poales; Poaceae.
AUGCCCGAGCCGCGGGAGCUAUGUCUGAGCCCUACUUCGCCAUUGUUCGUGGAGCAUUUGGAGGUUGACUCCUCGAUGACCUCGUGUGCGGGACAUGUUUCGCCUCUGUCAUCUAAGCAACUGAAGGUGCAUGAGUCCAUCAUGUCGGUCGACCCUACGGUUGAUGAUGUCGUGUCGAUGGUUCCUCUAGUUGAAGAUGUCGAUGCAGCUGGUGUGUUGAUGUUGGCUCCUCGGAGCCUUUUGGUGGACGACAUUGACACCCAAAAAUUUGAGGAGUUUUAUGAUUUUCUUGACAAAUGGGUGGCAGAUCAGCCUCAAUCUAGCAGGACAAGUGGUUGCCCCUCAAAGGAGAAGCCAGGCAGGGAGAAAGCAAAGAGGAACAAAAGUAAGAAAAGUGGCGCCAUUCGAAAGGCGUCCAUGGUUUCAUGA